GCCCCUUCAAGAGCUAAGCCACAACAGUGAGUGCCGGAGAUAAGCGCCGGAUGGGGUUAAUAAC
Molecule: small RNA, 64 nt
Filed under: Duffyella gerundensis
Lineage: Bacteria; Pseudomonadati; Pseudomonadota; Gammaproteobacteria; Enterobacterales; Erwiniaceae
Description: Erwinia gerundensis rydB RNA
Rfam family: rydB RNA
About the family: This family consists of several bacterial sequences from E. coli, Shigella flexneri and Salmonella species. This RNA gene was discovered by an RNA screen between the ydiC and ydiH in E. coli.
Source: Rfam by way of RNAcentral